AGUGUUGGUAUUCGGAAUUAGAUUGUUCGAAUCUGAACUGCCGAGCGAUAACCCACUUCAAAUGGUUACUCCAACCUAACAAUAUUGAUUUAAGAAAACCCUGGCUUUGAUUAGAGUAAACCCUCCUAGCCUGGUCUGCCUCUCCAAAUCUUCAACAACAAAAAAUUUAAAUGAAUCAAUGAAUAAAAGGCUAAUAAAAAAAAACACUUACCUCGUGACAUUAAAAGUUUUCUGACACCAGAGGUCAUAGAGGGGUGCCAUACAUGGCUGUCUUAGAAGAUAUUUUGCACAGAAUUAACAUCAUCAAGCCCAAAAUCUAGUUCUGGGCUGGUUAAUGAUAACCCUACGACACUGUUGAGGGUCGAGUUAUGUGGAGAAUUUCAAAGUGAAGUUAAUGGGGUCCUGCCCUCGUCUCCUUGAUGUUUGGGGGUGCUGUUUGAGUU
Non-coding RNA from Pelobates cultripes (western spadefoot toad), 443 nucleotides. The record is from the annotation of a GenBank genome assembly. NCBI's taxonomy places the organism in Eukaryota, Metazoa, Chordata, Amphibia, Anura, Pelobatidae.